This 110-nucleotide non-coding RNA is filed under the name unclassified sequences. RNAcentral's name for it is "PhotoRC-II RNA". It matches the Rfam family "PhotoRC-II RNA". The record is from RNAcentral.
UCACUUUUUCUAUCCUUGGAGCAACGGGUCUAAUCACCUUACCGAGACUAUCCAAGUAAAAUACGUCUCUCAUACCUCUGGUGGAGGGUGCCAGAGGAAUACUUCAUACA